RNAcentral lists this ribosomal RNA (660 nucleotides) under Halomonas caseinilytica. Its description in RNAcentral is "bacterial SSU rRNA". It matches the Rfam family "Bacterial small subunit ribosomal RNA", at positions 48 to 699 of the family's 1533-position model. Lineage: Bacteria; Pseudomonadati; Pseudomonadota; Gammaproteobacteria; Oceanospirillales; Halomonadaceae. The record is from RNAcentral.
CGUACACAUGCAAGUCGAGCGGAAACGAUCCCAGCUUGCUGGGAGGCGUCGAGCGGCGGACGGGUGAGUAAUGCAUAGGAAUCUGCCCGAUAGUGGGGGAUAACCUGAGGAAACUCAGGCUAAUACCGCAUACGUCCUACGGGAGAAAGCAGGGGCUCUUCGGACCUUGCGCUAUCGGAUGAGCUUAUGUCGGAUUAGCUGGUUGGUGAGGUAACGGCUCACCAAGGCGACGAUCCGUAGCUGGUCUGAGAGGAUGAUCAGCCACAUCGGGACUGAGACACGGCCCGAACUCCUACGGGAGGCAGCAGUGGGGAAUAUUGGACAAUGGGCGCAAGCCUGAUCCAGCCAUGCCGCGUGUGUGAAGAAGGCCCUCGGGUUGUAAAGCACUUUCAGUGAGGAAGAAAGCUUGUCGGUUAAUACCCGGCAAGGACGACAUCACUCACAGAAGAAGCACCGGCUAACUCCGUGCCAGCAGCCGCGGUAAUACGGAGGGUGCGAGCGUUAAUCGGAAUUACUGGGCGUAAAGCGUGCGUAGGCGGCUUGGUAAGCCGGUUGUGAAAGCCCCGGGCUCAACCUGGGAACGGCAUCCGGAACUGUCAGGCUAGAGUGCAGGAGAGGAAGGUAGAAUUCCCGGUGUAGCGGUGAAAUGCGUAGAGAUCG